Long non-coding RNA from Hibiscus syriacus, 1447 nucleotides. RefSeq lists it as uncharacterized. The transcript has 3 exons. Lineage: Eukaryota; Viridiplantae; Streptophyta; Magnoliopsida; Malvales; Malvaceae. The record is from RefSeq and is a predicted model, not a curated record.
CCCGUUGUCAAAAUGGUCACAGUUAGAAACAUCCUUGCUCUUGCCUCUCAUCAUGCUUGGCCUAUUUUCCAGAUGGAUGUAUUCAAUGCUUUCCUCCAAGGUGAUUUGCAUGAGGAGGUUUAUAUGACAUUACCUGAAGGGUUUUGCAGUCGGGGGGAGAAAAUGGUAUGUAGACAGCAAAAGUAUUUGUAUGGCCUGAAGCAAGCUUCAAGACAAUGAAAUGUGAAGCUAUCAGAGGCCAUGUUAGCUGCUGGUUAUGUUCAAAGCAAGCUAGAUUACUCAUUAUUCACAAGAAAGGAAGGAAGCAGUAUUGUGAUCCUGUUGGUAUAUGUAGAUGACUCGUUGAUAACAGGAAAUGACCUCGGAGGAAAUUAUUUACCAUGAAAAAUUUUGUGCGAGGGCCAAAGGAACUGAAGACGAUGACCGUGAGGAACAAUUUUCGCGGCGGCAAGAUUUAUCUUGCAAGUCUGACGUAGUACGAGACAAAAUUAUUGAUGUCGCGUGGCCAGCUGUCCAUUGCACCUCACGUGAGCCUCUGCCCCUUCCAGCUGCCAUAUUAUUCACGAAAUUGGCAUGAAUUGAAGGGUAGUUGGGUAAAUUUCAAGAUCACUAAACCCUAGAAAUUCCUCACUAUAAAUAGCAUAUUAUUCCCACCAUUAUAGAGAUCCCCACUCUCAUAUACCCUAAAAGCUUUGGAAGAGGCAACUGCAACAACUUCUCCACUGUUCCCCUCUCGUCCUUCCUUGUUGUCCUCCAUAGUCAGGCUUCAUCAGAGUAGCGGCUAGGUCCUUGAGAGAGGCUAGCCCACUGGAGCGGUCCAUGGUGGUGGUACGAUGUCACGACAAAACUCUGUUUUUGUGAUAGAAAAUGACCGAGGAAGAUAUUAUUUACUAUGACAAAUUUUGUGUGAGGGCCAAAGGAACUGAAGACGAUGACCGUGAGGAACAAUUUUUUCCGUGGCAAGUUUUAUCUUGCAAGUCUAACGCAGUACGAGACAAAAUUACUGAUGUCGCAUGGCCAACUGUCUGUUGCACCUCACAUGAACCUCUGCCCCUACCAAGGAUUUGGGACCACUUCCAACUGCCAUAUUAUUCACGAAAUUGGCAUGAAUUCGAGGGUAGUUGGGUAAAUUUCAAGGUCACUAAACCCUAUAAAUUCGUCACUAUAAAUAGCAUAUUAUGCCCACGAUUUUAGAGAUCCCCACUCUCACUUACCCUAAAAGCUUUGAAAAAGGCAGCUGUAACAACUUCUCCACCGUUCCUCUCUCGUCCUUUCUUGUUGUCCUCCAUAGUCGGGCUUCGUCGAAGUAGCGGCUAAGCCCUCAAGAGAGGCUAGCCCACUAGAGUGAUCCAUGGUGGUGAUCUAAUGUCACGACAAAGCUCUGUUUUUGGGAGUUUUCUGCUUGUUCUUCAUUUCUUAUCUUUUAAGGGCUUGUACUUAAUGAAUA